This 492-nucleotide ribosomal RNA is filed under the name uncultured bacterium. RNAcentral describes it as "partial 16S ribosomal RNA". It matches the Rfam family "Bacterial small subunit ribosomal RNA", at positions 29 to 507 of the family's 1533-position model. The record is from RNAcentral.
AGUGAACGCUGGCGGUAGGCCUAACACAUGCAAGUCGAACGGCAGCACAGUAAGAGCUUGCUCUUACGGGUGGCGAGUGGCGGACGGGUGAGGAAUACAUCGGAAUCUACUUUUUCGUGGGGGAUAACGUAGGGAAACUUACGCUAAUACCGCAUACGACCUACGGGUGAAAGCAGGGGAUCUUCGGACCUUGCGCGAUUGAAUGAGCCGAUGUCGGAUUAGCUAGUUGGCGGGGUAAAGGCCCACCAAGGCGACGAUCCGUAGCUGGUCUGAGAGGAUGAUCAGCCACACUGGAACUGAGACACGGUCCAGACUCCUACGGGAGGCAGCAGUGGGGAAUAUUGGACAAUGGGCGCAAGCCUGAUCCAGCCAUACCGCGUGGGUGGGGAAGGCCUUCGGGUUGUAAAGCCCUUUUGUUGGGAAAGAAAAGCAGCAGGUUAAUACCCCGCUGUUCUGACGGUACCCAAAGAAUAAGCACCGGCUAACUUCGUG